ACCCUCUGGCAAUAAGCAAAGAGACAUCUUGUUGGUGUCGUUGUUCUUAUAUCAAUCAGGGGGAGAGCAGGUGGCAGGGCUUUGUUCAUCAGAGCAUGAUGUCUGGCUUGGUGGCCAAAGCCAUUUUAUGCUAGGUCACCUAA
Molecule: small nucleolar RNA, 143 nt
Organism: Psammomys obesus (fat sand rat)
Lineage: Eukaryota; Metazoa; Chordata; Mammalia; Rodentia; Muridae
Product: small nucleolar RNA SNORA48
Exons: 1
Source: RefSeq, a predicted model, not a curated record